Molecule: unclassified non-coding RNA, 274 nt
Filed under: Hevea brasiliensis (rubber tree)
Lineage: Eukaryota; Viridiplantae; Streptophyta; Magnoliopsida; Malpighiales; Euphorbiaceae
Source: RNAcentral
AAAAACGAUAAAUAUAUCCUUAAAUAUAAAUGGUAUGCAGAUAUUCUCCAUCAUAUUUUUGGGACAUAUAUUUUUACCGUUCAAAAAUUAAAGCAUAUAUACCAUUUUAUACUAAUGGAUAUAGACGUGUCAUAAUCUUAUCUACCGCCCCAACAUUGGAUCGAUGGAUAAGAUUGUGCCAAGUUUCCUAAUUUAACCAUUCGUUAGAGUGAAGGGCAGAAAUUUUCGACUUUUUAAAUGUCAGGGACAUCAAUGUCCCAAAAGUAUGACGGAG